CCCCUCCUUCCCUUACUGCCACUCCCUAAAGCAGGUAGGGGGUCUGUAAGUGGUUAGGGGGCUGUGCGGUGGAUGAAAGGUGGGUAGGGGGUGGGUAGGGGGCUGUGAAAAGGUAAAUACCUGGUGGUCCGGUUGGCAGCUUUCCCUGGUGGUCUGGUACUCCGUUUUGCAGCUCCGCCAGGUGCAGAGCUGCAGACCACGUGGUAAGUCUCGCGAUCUCUAGUCAGAGCGUUGCCGUGGUAUCCCGCAGCAACGCUCUUAUUGACUAGAGAUCGCAAGACACCUCAGUCUGCAGCUCUACAGCAGGCUGGCUCUCCUCCAGGGCAGGCGGAGUGGAGGGGCCUCGUAACCAGCGGCAUAAAGGGCAAGCCGCCGGACUCCUUCCUGUGUCAGGCCCUCGGUCUUUGACCAAGGACCCGACAUGUCACACUGCCCUAAGGUGAUUUAGGCGGUCGCCAACAUCGCCUAAUUAGAGAGCCGUCUCUGUCCUGCAGGACUACUAACGGGUACGGCGUUGCUGCUGUGGACUCGAGCCCUGCUGCUCAAGCAAAUGCUUCCUCGUUAGCCCGAGCAGCAAAGAGAGCAUAAGCUGCUGGGAACUCUCAUUUAGCAUAAAGGUUUAACUCUAAAUGUAAAGCUGGCAACAAGGGACACCAAAUAUUACAACCACUUCAAUGAAAUGAAACGGCUACAGAGCCUACAGUGUCCCUUUAACUCAUGUUGAGGGAAUAGUCAAAUGCCUUUCUAUCAUGACAGUCCUGACAUGCAAUCUACCAUAAUGUGUUAUAAUUAUUGAUUUGGGUUUAUUAAAGAGGAUAGGGCCAGGGAUAGCCAAUAUUUUUACCCCACAAAAUGCAGUCAAGGAGGCAAGCUGAACGAGGGCAUUGCAGCAGACUUAGUCGAUCUAGAAAAAGGUUGUUGCGUUUGAUUUAGCAAAAUUUGUAACACUGACAAUGGCACAUAUGGUGAAAUUACAUAGAUAGGGAGAAAUAGCAUGUAUACAAAAUAACCUGGCCCCAGUUAACUCUUAUAAAUAUCACUGACCUUUCAAAUUGAAUACAGAGUGAUAAGCUAUCAUUUAAUCUUUACCAUAAAACUGAAAAAAAUCUGUUUCAAUCCUGUGAUAAAGAAUUCCUAUAGUCACCCAGUCAUCUCAAUGAAGUGGUCUGGGUGCAGUGGCCGUGUCCUUUUAACCCUGCAGUGUAAAGCAUUGCAGUUUUUUGCAGUGGUUAAAUCUACUUAUAGCGGCUCUUAUACUGUCAGCCACUAGAAAUAAGAUAAGUAAAUUAUUUAUGGCAAACGAUGGGGGCCCUUAAUACAACUAGGCACAGGGGCACUGUAGCAUUGGAAUACAGGUUUAUAUUCUUAAGGCUUCAGUGUUCCUUUAACCGUAGGGUUGUACUACACAUGCCAGCAUCCUACACCUAAAACCAUUAAAUACCCAUCACAUUGCUAGCCUGUUCAUGCCUGCCUCUUUGACAAGCAGUCCUGCUCCCCGCACCUAUCAUAAUUGAAGGUAUACUUCCUGCUCCCCACACCCCCAAUAAUUGGAG
RNAcentral lists this long non-coding RNA (1553 nucleotides) under Pelobates cultripes (western spadefoot toad). Lineage: Eukaryota; Metazoa; Chordata; Amphibia; Anura; Pelobatidae. The record is from RNAcentral.